Helianthus annuus (common sunflower) is the source of this 664-nucleotide long non-coding RNA. RefSeq lists it as uncharacterized. The record is from RefSeq and is a predicted model, not a curated record. The transcript has 2 exons. Lineage: Eukaryota; Viridiplantae; Streptophyta; Magnoliopsida; Asterales; Asteraceae.
CUUAUUAUGGACUAAAUUCUAAUCGUUUACAUCCUAAUUCUGUCCCCAACCUAUGGAGAUGAUUGUAGGCCAGAAGUCCUUUUGUUGGCAAUGCACCAUUUGUGGGAGAUCCACAUUUUAAAGGCCAUGAGUUUUGUAAACUUUCAACCCAUCAUUUCAAGCCAAAAAUAGUAAAUAAAAGAUUGUUUUAAAAGCUUGAAGGCACAUUGUUUAACACAUAAAAAUUUCUUGGGCUUUUUGUACCAGCAUUUUGUAAUCUUCAGAUAUGGGAGACCCGGAGGAAAACCUUAAAAAGGAAGAGAAACAUGGAGACAAGGAAGGAAAAGGAGAAAAGUCUAAAGACAAGAAAAAGAAGAAGGAGAAAAAAGAAAAGAAUCCCGAAGAUAAGAACGAUCCGACCAAGCUAAAGGCCAAGCUUGAAAAGCUUGAUUCGAAGAUUCAAGCACUUAACGUCAAACGAGAAGAACUCGUCAAACUUAUCGAGCAAGCUCAAGCCAAUGCUCCAGCGCCUGCCUGAAGCUAGGGCACAAGCGUGAGCCUCGUGAGAGAAGUUGCAACUUGUAAGAUUAAAAAAUUAUAUGUAUAUGUGUAAUUAAAAAAUGUUUUCUCACUAACUAUUUUGUUUAUAUUUGAAUGGUUAUAUAAGAAAUGACACUUAAUAUUA